CAAUAGCGUAUAUUAAAGUUGUUGCAGUUAGAACGCUCGUAGUCGGAUUUCGGGGCGGGCCGACCGGUCUGCCGAUGGGUAUGCACUGGUCGGCGCGUCCUUCCUUCCGGAGACCGUCCCUACUCUUAACUGAGCGGGGGCGGGAGACGGGACUUUUACUUUGAAAAAAUCAGAGUGUUUCAAGCAGGCAGCUCGCUCUUGCAUGGAUUAGCAUGGGAUAAUGAAAUAGGACUUUGGUGCUAUUUUGUUGGUUUCGAACACCGAAGUAAUGAUGAGAAGGGACAGUCAGGGGCACUCGUAUUCCGCCGGGAGAGGUGAAAUUCUCAGACCAGCGGAAGACGAACCACUGCGAAAGCAUUUGCCAGGGAUGUUUUCACUGA
This 380-nucleotide ribosomal RNA is filed under the name uncultured eukaryote. RNAcentral's name for it is "partial 18S ribosomal RNA". It matches the Rfam family "Eukaryotic small subunit ribosomal RNA", at positions 592 to 976 of the family's 1831-position model. The record is from RNAcentral.